This is a long non-coding RNA of Pezoporus flaviventris, 408 nucleotides long. RefSeq lists it as uncharacterized. NCBI's taxonomy places the organism in Eukaryota, Metazoa, Chordata, Aves, Psittaciformes, Psittacidae. The record is from RefSeq and is a predicted model, not a curated record. The transcript is spliced from 4 exons.
CUCAUCCAUCUCAAGGGACCUGAAGACUUCCAGCUAAAAAGAGCUGAAUGUUUUAACAAUAGUAUUGUAAGCUUAUUGGAACCUGAAACAAAGCAGGAGGUCUGCUACUCUGGCCUUUAUGCUUAUUGUGAACAAAAGAGCUGUUAGGAUGAGAUCACUUUCCUGAAGGAGGCAAUCCAGCUCAACUAGGAGUUCCUGAUCUCAGUAAAGAACUACUGGGUGAAUUUUUACGUCCACAGCUCAGUGUUUGCAGGAGUUUGUCACCAAAUGAGAAGCUGGGGCACAGAAAGGUAGUAAGUUUCCCUCAUCACCUGCUGACCUGAAGUACUGAGUAAUAGCCUCAAAUGGCACUAGUUCCAGGGUAUGAAAUUCUGCUGUGUUAAAAACCAGUAUGAAGACCUCAGCACC